GACGAACGCUGGCGGCGUGCUUAACACAUGCAAGUCGAACGGAAAGGCCCUGCUUUUGUGGGGUGCUCGAGUGGCGAACGGGUGAGUAACACGUAAGUAACCUGCCCUUGACUUUGGGAUAACUUCAGGAAACUGGGGCUAAUACCGGAUAGGAGCUCCUGCUGCAUGGUGGGGGUUGGAAAGUUUCGGCGGUUGGGGAUGGACUCGCGGCUUAUCAGCUUGUUGGUGGGGUAGUGGCUUACCAAGGCUUUGACGGGUAGCCGGCCUGAGAGGGUGACCGGGCACAUUGGGACUGAGAUACGGCCCAGACUCGUACGGGGGGCAGCAGUGGGGAAUAUUGCACAAUGGGCGGAAGCCUGAUGCAGCAACGCCGCGUGCGGGAUGACGGCCUUCGGGUUGUAAACCGCUGUCGCCUGUGACGAAGCGUGAGUGACGGUAAUGGGUAAAGAAGCACCGGCUAACUACGUG
Molecule: ribosomal RNA, 468 nt
Filed under: uncultured bacterium
Lineage: Bacteria
Description: partial 16S ribosomal RNA
Rfam family: Bacterial small subunit ribosomal RNA
Source: RNAcentral